Long non-coding RNA from Gasterosteus aculeatus aculeatus (three-spined stickleback), 3996 nucleotides. The record is from Ensembl. NCBI's taxonomy places the organism in Eukaryota, Metazoa, Chordata, Actinopteri, Perciformes, Gasterosteidae.
CAGGUUUCUCUCAUUCUUCCCCACUUCAUUGACAACCUGGGGUCUCAUUUCUUCCACCCUGCUCUGAUGCUCUCCUCUGGGACAGUUUGGAAGGCACUUCACUUCAUCUUGUCCGGCUCUUUUAACAUUGGAGUAGGGAUUCUCAUUGUCAGAGUUAUAUCUGCUCCCUUUGCCUGUGUUGAUAAGUUACUCUAGACUUCAAGUCCUGGGAAGCUUGGUCGGAUAAUCUCCCAUUUAAAAUGUGAGGCCCCUCUUCUAUCCUCACCAUCGACUCACAUAACCGGGCUCCUUAGGACAUCGAUGGGCUGUAACGAGAGCAGACCCGUGUCCCUGUCAUUUUGGUAAGAUAUGAAGGUGUGCACGGCACAAGACGCAGAUAUCCGAGGAUGUCUAUAUCGGAACUUGUGCAUGAGCUGCUGUCUGUUUCUGAUCUGAAAACUUUCACUGUGCCUUUCUUUAGUAACUUUUGAAUGUCCUCUAGAUAGCUUAGUUGUCCAGUCAGGUUACUCAUACUGCAGGGUAAACUCAAAGUCUAGGCAGGGUGUGACUUUUAUGGGUAAGUCUAUAGCAAAGUAAACGUGCAGCAGGAAUUUCUGGGGUAUUGCCAUAAUCUGAUGGACAGAUCCAUCCAUAACGGAUUGAAAUGGAAAAAACGCCUGUUUUGUUAAAUGGUGUAAAUACAUAACAAAAUUAAACCUACCUUAAAAUGGAAGAAGCCGGAUUCUUUACUGUGGCGUUUAAAUGUAGGUCACAAAUUAACGUUCACAGAUAUAAAUCUACUUUCAGUGUAACGGUUCAUGUUCACUGUGGGAAGUUCCUAUGUUCUCAAUUUUGUUCUUGGCCAAUAAAUGUGGAAUCUCCAAUUUUGUCAAACUGAGCACUAACGCCCCACAGAUACAAGCGCAUCAACUUCAUAAUUAGUGCUAUCAAUAAUGAUCUUUGCUGUUCAUGUGCUGUUAAUCAUUUUGCUCUCCUUUUUUUAUGUGCUCCUUUGCCACCUCAAUAAACACUGAAACACACAUUUGCUGAAUUUGUCUGCGGAUGUGGUUUAAAGAAUGAUGCCGUGCUGAGGUAGUGUGCCACCAUGUGCUGAUGCCUAGUGUUUUUAAUACUUUCCGUUUACCAUUUAAGCAGGUCAUGUAUUCAAACAAUAAUUUUUUUGCAUUCAAAUCUCAGUCCACAAAUGGAGAAGAGAACCAAAACGGCAACGCGGUCAAGGUAGUGAUGAACAUAGUGAGGUACUGAACUCAGGAAAAACCUCCUGAAGCAUUUUUCUGUGAUCAUGCAGCUUAGUCUCAAAAUAGUGGAUAGAAUAGUCAUCAAAUGUUGGACAAAGCACAAGCUCUACAAUGACUUUGACAUCAAAGACAUUGUCGACAAAGGAAAAAUCAUAAAGGGGCAAUCUGGAAAAAAAAGAAGUAAAAAUGAUCUAAUCAUAAAUGCAGUGGAAGCACUCAGAGUCUCUACAAUAUGCUUUUUAGUUGGCCAAUGCCACCAACGUUCCUCUUUCCAGCAGUGUUUAUUGAGAUUGGCUUUGGUCGGUUUUCUUAGUAUGGGAAUGACACAUAUUUCCUGGUGUAAAAUAUCAUCUCCUGAAUAAACAUAGCCAACUACACAGGUACAAAUGCCCUCAGAACGAUUAUGCCGCACACCAGGUGGUGAACCACUAGUUGUAUGAAAAUACUGCAAACUCUCUUUCAAGAUACAGUCCACCCUAAACCAAACUGACUUUGUCUUCUUCCCAUGCAUAACAACACGGUCAUGACUGCCUUUGUUCUAAAUCCUUGUGUAGCGUUACAAAAUCCACAAAGGGCCGGAAGCCUGCUAAUGCCAGGUCUGAUUCAAUGCAUAAAACAUUGACCCAAACGGAUCACGGCCGUCAAUGAAUACACCAUUUUGUUCAAGAGUGCAAAACUCUCGUAACAAAGGAACACUUGCUGUUUGAGAGCCACACCUGGAGAAUGGAUACCUUACGUAGUGCUGCGCGGCUGACUGACUGAUCGAUCAGCAACAACCUAAUAUAUACUGAACACAGUUUAUGGAUUUCCUAUGAAGUAGAUCUGCAAUUGCAGAAGACAACAAAUAAUUGAUUUAUUAUUAUGUAAUCAAUAUAUAAACAUUUAAAUUCGCCUGAUUCUUGAGGACGCUUGCUACUUUGUGUGGCAGAGUGGCUCCGCUCACUUCAAUCUCCAUGUUUUUGGGUGUUCUAAAUCAGCUGACUUUCCAUCUUUCCGUCUUUUGUGUCUCCCCCUUCCGCGUCAUCGACGGCGCCUGCCUGUCUGCCGACUGAGGUUGGAGGUGGAAGCGUGGCCUUCAAGCCGGUACAGAUCCCCUUAGGCGUAGCAUCCAAUUCCUACGCUAAAGCGGCGUCGUUGUGGUGCACCACCCUGGCGUGGGAGCACUAAAGCUUCUACGUCCCGCCAGUGGCUCACCUGCUGAAGCAGGCCUCUAACCAGUGCGGGACCCCCCCCCCACUGCUGUUCUGUCUGGGCUGAGCUGUUGGUGCCACUGGUAGGAGUGACUGGCUGAUCCCGGUGGUGGUUCCCUUCAUUUUUUCGUUGCAGUGCACCUGGGUGUCAAUAGUCUGUGGUUUGUUUUGUUUUUCACGUGUGGUGGAACAUUAGGCCCCUUGCCCCUCAGCAAGUCAACUCCGCCAGUGAGCCCUCAGUCUCAGCCCCCUCAUGUAUGUUGCAUCUCAUGGUAACCUGAAUGAUUGAGAACGUGAGAGAUUUUAUUUGAACUUUGUGAUCGCGACUGCAUUUUAAGAAAAUAACUUAAUAUUAAAAUAAACUUGUAUAAUUUUGUUUAUGGAAUCACGUCUAGUGCCUGUGUUGUCCGGUCAUUGACCUGAGACUGGUGGUCCCUUUUUAAUUCCUGGGGUGAAAUUCCCUAAGUGGCGUUAUUUGCUUUUAAUAGUAAAAUUCCAGAUCUUUCCUCUGAUGCCACAUUUGCGUCAACUUCGGCCCACAAGAAAAGAAUAUUGGCUGAGUUAUAAUUCACUUUGGCCGAUUUAAAUUAGCUAAUUGAACAUCACAAAUCAUGCUUUCUUAACAUCUGUGUAUCAACCUUGACGAUAAUUUUACUGUGGAAAAAAUUACAUCUUGCCAAUAGUUCCUACAGAUGCGUGUAGGAAUAACAUCACAUUUGCCAGGCGGGCCGCUUAACAGAAGAAGAAUACACAAGACUUUGUUGACUGAAACUAGUUACCACUUGACGUGAACACGAUUGCCCUGCUAAAGUUACGCAAUCAGUAAACGUCAAUCAUCCGUUAUCAGUCAAUGGCGCUGAUGCUAUUAAGCAAAUAACAGCUCUAACCAGCAGCCUCUUUAUUUUCAGUCUUAAUAUAAUGGUUACAUCCUGUAUGAAUAAAGUCAAGACACUAUGGUAAGAUAAGUAGCAUUGUUUGUGCAAUCCUUUAAUAUAUAUAUGAAUAGUGUCUUCUCCAACCCACAUAACACCUACACUCCAUAUUCAAUUUCAACCCAAAUAGUACUUUUUGGGCUUUUUAUGUGUUAAAAUGCUGUAAACGGACCACGUUUCUAUUUCCUUUAUCUAGGACUGCAUGAACAUUGUGUUUUGUGUUACGGCUACUUGCUCUAAAUUGUAAAAUGAAAUAACAUCUACUUUAGAUGUAGUGAUGGUUGAUCCGUGCCUCAAUGUAUGCAACUGGUAUACAGGUUACUGGUGCAGCUCGUUAUUUUUAAUGAGCCCUUCUGUUUAAGCUCUACCACUGAUGCAUUGUAACAACUGCACCCAAAUAAGGGGCGAAACUUAUUUUUUAAGAAGAAAAUGCUGUUUUGAGAUUGUCGUUACUGAACGUGUCCCAGUUGUGGUGGUGAGCUGGUAUUUUUCAAUAGUACAGUAACAAAGUUCUACAAAUACUAGCUUUAUUUAAGGCAACUCAGAAGUUCUGGCUUUAUAUCUGCAUGUGUGAUCAGGCAUGAUUAUAUCUGACAUAAAAUAAAUCCAUUGAAAUAUAGAAAUUAUAGACUGUCC